GCUGGUUUUUUUGCGAAACCUAUAUAAGUAGGUAAUUUAUAUAACAUCAUAGCAGGUACAGAAUUGUGGUCUUGUACAACUUGCAUAAAAAAAAUGCACUUUGUUCACUUCUUGGGGGUCGUGAAGAUCCUACUCGCGAGUAUUUGCACUCGGAAGGGUUAUGAUGACUAUAUAAUAAUCAGACAUAGUACGAUAAGGUAGUAUGUCUAAAGGGAAACAGCCCAGAACAAGAGUUAAUAAGGUUCCAAAAUUAUUGUUAAGUGAAAAUAAGGAAGUUUCAAUCCAAUACAGCCAGGAGAUAGGCUUAGAUGCGGCCAUUUUUUGAAGACCUCGUAACAGAGCACUGGUUUAGUAAAUUAUUUAGAUAAUUUAUAUUGAUAAAAGCACCAAAAAUUUAACGGAUCUAAACAAUAUACCGAGACCUUGUCCAUAUUUAUAUAUAUAUCUCUUUUGUAUAUUGUAUUUAUGGGGUAGCGGAACAUUGGGCAAAUAUAAGAAUUUUUCUUUUUAAGACUUAAGAUAAUAUAACCCAAGCGAUAAUGCUGACAUGAGUAACGAUAAAGGGAAUAAACUAUUCCCUCGCCUAAAACUUAUGGUAUUUACUUAAAGUAACGGCCUCUAAGUUUAUGAACCUAAAGGAGUAAACGAUGAGAAAAUCUACUAUCUGCGAAUAAAUAACCUUUGUGAUAAGACUUUGAUGACUGUAGGCGCAGUAAGUAUGAGCUUUUUUGCUAAAAAGUUCCACUACAUGAAAAGAUGUAAAUGGAGUUACGUGAAAGGUUCUGGAAAAUUUAAGUGGUGCAGCAUGGAUAAUAGGGAGGACGCAAUCUCCUGCCUACCAUGGUGUAAAUAGACCGUACCUAGAAACUACCCCCAGUAAGUUAGUAGAGAAUACGAAGGCGUUUGAGUGAACAAUCUUAAGGAAUUCGCAACUAACA
Molecule: ribosomal RNA, 938 nt
Filed under: Umbilicaria phaea
Lineage: Eukaryota; Fungi; Ascomycota; Lecanoromycetes; Umbilicariales; Umbilicariaceae
Description: partial large subunit ribosomal RNA
Rfam family: Bacterial large subunit ribosomal RNA
Source: RNAcentral